CUGGCCCAGUGUGGACAGUUGGAGGCUCAAGUUCAUACAUUGUGCUAUUAUUCUGUGUGGAACAGAGAUCCAGCUUGUUCAAAAGGAGACCAUUAUCUGACUGCCUGAAUAGAUCCCAUUGCAGGAAAAAUUGACUGAAAUAUUGUCAAAUGUGUUCCAGCAAUAAAAUUCAGAUGUUGUAUAUGCUACAAAGAAGAUAGUGACUGCUGAAUACAGACAAAUGGGAGAAGAAAGCAGUUUGGCCCAGAGGAAGAACACACAGUGGAGAUAAAGAGAUGUGUGCCAAGAAAGGCGAAUAUUCAGAUCAGAUGGGAUGCAGAUGAACAUCUGUGGAGACCCAUGAAUGAAGAAGAGAGAAGCAGAGGGAAAGAAAGAAACUGAUUGAAAAGAUGCAGUCAAAAUGGGCGGUGGGAAAGAGAAGGAGGAUUCAACUGGCUAAUAAUUUCAUUUUCUUCUUAUAAGUACAUUCUUCAUUCCAUGUUUUGAAUUGAGCCUGAAUCAGAAUGCUUUCUCUUUUUGGAGACAUGUAUCCAGAG
RNAcentral lists this long non-coding RNA (536 nucleotides) under Rhinopithecus roxellana (golden snub-nosed monkey). RNAcentral describes it as "lncRNA (ENSRROG00000045886.1)". Lineage: Eukaryota; Metazoa; Chordata; Mammalia; Primates; Cercopithecidae. The record is from RNAcentral.